This 253-nucleotide ribosomal RNA is filed under the name uncultured bacterium. RNAcentral describes it as "partial 16S ribosomal RNA". It matches the Rfam family "Bacterial small subunit ribosomal RNA", at positions 524 to 776 of the family's 1533-position model. The record is from RNAcentral.
UACGUAGGGUGCGAGCGUUGUCCGGAAUUAUUGGGCGUAAAGGGCUCGUAGGCGGUUUGUCGCGUCGGGAGUGAAAACCAGGUGCUUAACACCUGGCUUGCUUUCGAUACGGGCAGACUAGAGGUAUGCAGGGGAGAACGGAAUUCCUGGUGUAGCGGUGGAAUGCGCAGAUAUCAGGAGGAACACCAAUGGCGAAGGCAGAUCUCUGGGCCGUAACUGACGCUGAGGAGCGAAAGCGUGGGGAGCAAACAGG